AGUGAACGCUGGCGGUAUGCCUAACACAUGCAAGUCGAACGGCAGCACAGUAAGAGCUUGCUCUUACGGGUGGCGAGUGGCGGACGGGUGAGGAAUACAUCGGAAUCUACUUUUUCGUGGGGGAUAACGUGGGGAAACUUACGCUAAUACCGCAUACGACCUACGGGUGAAAGCAGGGGUUCUUCGGACCUUGCGCGAUUGAAUGAGCCGAUGUCGGAUUAGCUAGUUGGCGGGGUAAAGGCCAACCAAGGCGACGAUCCGUAGCUGGUCUGCGAGGAUGAUCAGCCACACUGGAACUGAGACACGGUCAAGACUCCUACGGGGGGCAGCAGUGGGGAAUAUUGGACAAUGGGCGCAAGCCUGAUCCAGCCAUACCGGGUGGGUGAAGAAGGCCUUCGGGUUUUAAAGCCCUUUUGUUGGGAAAGAAAAGCAGGAGGUUAAAACCCCGAUGUUCUGACGGUACCCAAAGAAUAAGCACCGGCUAACUUCGUG
This 492-nucleotide ribosomal RNA is filed under the name uncultured bacterium. RNAcentral's name for it is "partial 16S ribosomal RNA". It matches the Rfam family "Bacterial small subunit ribosomal RNA", at positions 29 to 507 of the family's 1533-position model. The record is from RNAcentral.